AGCGAACGCUGGCGGCAGGCUUAACACAUGCAAGUCGAGCAGGCACCUUCGGGUGUCCGCGGCAGACGGGUGAGUAACACGUGGGAACGUACCCUUCGGUUCGGAAUAACGCUGGGAAACUAGCGCUAAUACCGGAUACGCCCUUAUGGGGAAAGGUUUACUGCCGAAGGAUCGGCCCGCGUCUGAUUAGCUAGUUGGUGGGGUAACGGCCUACCAAGGCGACGAUCAGUAGCUGGUCUGAGAGGAUGAUCAGCCACACUGGGACUGAGACACGGCCCAGACUCCUACGGGAGGCAGCAGUGGGGAAUAUUGGACAAUGGGCGCAAGCCUGAUCCAGCCAUGCCGCGUGAGUGAUGAAGGCCUUAGGGUGGUAAAGCUCUUUUGUCCGGGACGAUAAUGACGGUACCGGAAGAAUAAGCCCCGGCUAACUGCGU
Molecule: ribosomal RNA, 434 nt
Filed under: uncultured bacterium
Lineage: Bacteria
Description: partial 16S ribosomal RNA
Rfam family: Bacterial small subunit ribosomal RNA
Source: RNAcentral